Molecule: ribosomal RNA, 253 nt
Filed under: uncultured bacterium
Lineage: Bacteria
Description: partial 16S ribosomal RNA
Rfam family: Bacterial small subunit ribosomal RNA
Source: RNAcentral
UACGAGGGGAGCAAGCGUUGUUCGGAUUUACUGGGCGUAAAGGGCGCGUAGGCGGCGUGAUAAGUCACUUGUGAAAUCUCUGGGCUCAACCCAGAACGGUCAAGUGAUACUGUUGUGCUAGAGUGCAGAAGGGGCAACUGGAAUUCUCGGUGUAGCGGUGAAAUGCGUAGAUAUCGGGAGGAACACCUGCGGCGAAGGCGGGUUGCUGGGCUGACACUGACGCUGAGGCGCGAAAGCUAGGGGAGCGAACGGG